UACGUAGGGUGCAAGCGUUGUCCGGAAUUAUUGGGCGUAAAGAGCUUGUAGGCGGUCUGUCGCGUCUGCUGUGAAAAUCCGGGGCUCAACCCCGGACUUGCAGUGGGUGACGGGCAGACUAGAGUGUGGUAGGGGAGACUGGAAUUCCUGGUGUAGCGGUGAAAUGCGCAGAUAUCAGGAGGAACACCGAUGGCGAAGGCAGGUCUCUGGGCCACUACUGACGCUGAGAAGCGAAAGCAUGGGGAGCGAACAGG
This 254-nucleotide ribosomal RNA is filed under the name uncultured bacterium. Its description in RNAcentral is "partial 16S ribosomal RNA". It matches the Rfam family "Bacterial small subunit ribosomal RNA", at positions 524 to 776 of the family's 1533-position model. The record is from RNAcentral.